AGGUUAUGGGGAGGCUCACAGUCCCUGUCAGGGCCCAUAAAAAGGAAAAUAGCCGUGUCUGGGAGAGCUAGAGACACGUCCAUGUCGACCGAAGUGAAACAGAGAUUCGGAGAGGUGCGGAAGACUGAGGAACAACAAAGAAGGGGAGCGAGGGACAGAGAAAGGGGACGCUGAGGGACAGAGCUGAGGGAGACGGACGACAGGAGGGCACCGAAGAGGAAAAUUGGCACACUCCAUGACAGCCCUUAGAGCAAUGCCACAGAGCCCUGAAGUCCAAUACCCUUCAUCUUACCGAUGAGGGAACCAAGUCCCCCAGAGGGGAAGGGGGCAAGCAAGGCAUCACACAGUGAGUGACCUAUUGGAAGAGCCUCCCGUAUCUCUCCAUCUCUGGCGUCUGAGCCUUUUUCUGUCUUUGAGAAUUUCUAUGUGACUAUGACUGUCCCUUUGGUGUUUGUGAUGGGAGAGCCCCGGUUUUGUCCAGGGGGCUUCGUUAGGGGCUGAGGGGAGUGUGUGCUUCCCAUCGUCUCCUUCAGCCGUAUCCCUUUUCUCCCUACCCCUUCUCAGUCUUUGCCCACAACCCCUCUCAGAUCUAGUUCUCCCUCCCCCCCAGCCCCUUGGCCAGGGCCGCUGGAGAGGGUGGUCACCCUCCCGGCCAGCCCUUUCCCUUUCAGUGCCCCCAGGGUUCCUGGAGGACCUCGCCCCCUUUCAGAUCACUAGGGAUCCCCAGCUCCCCCCUUGGAGUUCUCCCUCCCUUCCUCCCCAGGGUUCAGGGGGUGGUGAGGGGAGUGGGGGGGAAUGGGUUAAGAGAGGUGCGCGUGUCGUGGGAUGGAAAGCAAAGAACACAGCGUUAGACACGGAUGUAGAGAUGGACGUUUAUAACGGCAAAAAAAGGGUGAGUCACUGGGGUAAGGGAGGCAUGUGGGGGAAGGGGGACUCAGAGAAGGGGAAGGGUCAUGGAGCUAAUACAC
Long non-coding RNA from Sarcophilus harrisii (Tasmanian devil), 968 nucleotides. RefSeq lists it as uncharacterized. Lineage: Eukaryota; Metazoa; Chordata; Mammalia; Dasyuromorphia; Dasyuridae. The record is from RefSeq and is a predicted model, not a curated record. The transcript is spliced from 3 exons.